UUAAUUGAAAUGACGUCGUUUUGAAGGAGCAAAUCUUGACCGCUUAUCCACAGAACAAAUCCAAGUCGUUGAUCUCUUUUAAUGUUUAAUUCAUUGAUUUUUUUGACCAGCAGUAUUAACUUCAGAGAUUCAACCAUUUUUUGUUCCAGGUUACCUUUCGGCGACAACUUCAUCCCUAGCUUCCUGACUUUAAACAGUAGAGUACAAGUUUAGCGAAGAUGCAGAUCUUUUCGUUCAACCACUCUAGCUUCCUCACGUCUUCCUCCGCUGCGCCCACUGGCUUCCACGACCAAAUUCCUAUUUUAAGAUUCGACGAGUUGCCCCAAGUCGAAGCCUGAAUCGCUUCUCUGUAACAGUCACCUAUGACGACUCACGUGAGACAGGGAUGUGAAUUUUGUUGAUUGAUCUUCUUUGAAGCACUGUUAAAGUUGGGAUUUUACUCAAGCAAGGAAGACAUGGAAUAUUUCAGCUUUUCGAGUGGAAUUGAAUGUGCUGUGAAGACUUGGCAAACCCAGAAGGAAUCAAAAAUACUAAAGGAGCUGCCUUAUACUGUCAAAAUGACUGGACCAAAAUGAAACAAAAAUAUUGAAGAAGCUACCUUGUACUGGCUAAAUGACUGCACCAAAAUAUCUUCUUGAACCAGAAUGAAGCUAAAGCUGGAGUAGUGGCCACGAUCAUGGGAUAUAUCUUCACGUGUGACUGAUGGUGCUAGAUUGAGAACCUAUGUUAAAGAGACAGCAUUGUUAAAGUUUUACAAAUGUACUGCUUGUAAAUAAUUGAAUUGAAAGUUCUAGUAUACUAGAACACAUGUA
Prosopis cineraria is the source of this 812-nucleotide long non-coding RNA. RefSeq lists it as uncharacterized. The transcript has 3 exons. NCBI's taxonomy places the organism in Eukaryota, Viridiplantae, Streptophyta, Magnoliopsida, Fabales, Fabaceae. The record is from RefSeq and is a predicted model, not a curated record.